CAUGAAGUCCAACCCAUGUGAACUUCCUGUUGUUUUUAUGCUGGAGCAGGCUGAGGAAGUGGGCCAGAGUGGGUCCCUGACUAGGUACAAGAGGCUUGAGCCUUGGCCAGGGAAGAAGUGUAACAGAACAGAUUAUGCAGAAGCAAUGUCAUUGCAGAGAAUUGUUGUAUCAGCACUGAAAUUAGACCCGGAAUUCUGGACUAAGAAUCACGAGAGGCGAAGACAGUGCUGUGAUCUUAGAGGCAUAAAGAAAAGCAAUAUGCAGAUUAGGAUUAGAAAAUGCA
Molecule: unclassified non-coding RNA, 284 nt
Filed under: Hevea brasiliensis (rubber tree)
Lineage: Eukaryota; Viridiplantae; Streptophyta; Magnoliopsida; Malpighiales; Euphorbiaceae
Source: RNAcentral